Molecule: ribosomal RNA, 2878 nt
Filed under: Salmonella enterica
Lineage: Bacteria; Pseudomonadati; Pseudomonadota; Gammaproteobacteria; Enterobacterales; Enterobacteriaceae
Description: partial 23S ribosomal RNA
Rfam family: Bacterial large subunit ribosomal RNA
Source: RNAcentral
GGUUAAGCGACUAAGCGUACACGGUGGAUGCCCUGGCAGUCAGAGGCGAUGAAGGGCGUGCUAAUCUGCGAUAAGCGCCGGUAAGGUGAUAUGAACCGUUAUAACCGGCGAUACCCGAAUGGGGAAACCCAGUGUGACUCGUCACACUAUCAUUAACUGAAUCCAUAGGUUAAUGAGGCGAACCGGGGGAACUGAAACAUCUAAGUACCCCGAGGAAAAGAAAUCAACCGAGAUUCCCCCAGUAGCGGCGAGCGAACGGGGAGGAGCCCAGAGCCUGAAUCAGCAUGUGUGUUAGUGGAAGCGUCUGGAAAGUCGCGCGAUACAGGGUGACAGCCCCGUACACAAAAGCGCAUGUGUUGUGAGCUCGAUGAGUAGGGCGGGACACGUGGUAUCCUGUCUGAAUAUGGGGGGACCAUCCUCCAAGGCUAAAUACUCCUGACUGACCGAUAGUGAACCAGUACCGUGAGGGAAAGGCGAAAAGAACCCCGGCGAGGGGAGUGAAAAAGAACCUGAAACCGUGUACGUACAAGCAGUGGGAGCCCCACCACCAAAGCAUUCUCUGGUGUUGAAGGCCCUGCAAAGCAGCAUCGCGGUGGCGGAGCGUCGUUUGCGACGCCCAACACAAAAAACAAGCGGUGAGUGCUUUGGGGUGGGGUGACUGCGUACCUUUUGUAUAAUGGGUCAGCGACUUAUAUUCUGUAGCAAGGUUAACCGAAUAGGGGAGCCGUAGGGAAACCGAGUCUUAACUGGGCGUUAAGUUGCAGGGUAUAGACCCGAAACCCGGUGAUCUAGCCAUGGGCAGGUUGAAGGUUGGGUAACACUAACUGGAGGACCGAACCGACUAAUGUUGAAAAAUUAGCGGAUGACCUGUGGCUGGGGGUGAAAGGCCAAUCAAACCGGGAGAUAGCUGGUUCUCCCCGAAAGCUAUUUAGGUAGCGCCUCGUGAAUUCAUCUCCGGGGGUAGAGCACUGUUUCGGCUAGGGGGCCAUCCCGGCUUACCAACCCGAUGCAAACUGCGAAUACCGGAGAAUGUUAUCACGGGAGACACACGGCGGGUGCUAACGUCCGUCGUGAAGAGGGAAACAACCCAGACCGCCAGCUAAGGUCCCAAAGUCAUGGUUAAGUGGGAAACGAUGUGGGAAGGCCCAGACAGCCAGGAUGUUGGCUUAGAAGCAGCCAUCAUUUAAAGAAAGCGUAAUAGCUCACUGGUCGAGUCGGCCUGCGCGGAAGAUGUAACGGGGCUAAACCAUGCACCGAAGCUGCGGCAGCGACGCUGAUGCGUUGUUGGGUAGGGGAGCGUUCUGUAAGCCUGUGAAGGUGUGCUGUGAGGCAUGCUGGAGGUAUCAGAAGUGCGAAUGCUGACAUAAGUAACGAUAAAGCGGGUGAAAAGCCCGCUCGCCGGAAGACCAAGGGUUCCUGUCCAACGUUAAUCGGGGCAGGGUGAGUCGACCCCUAAGGCGAGGCCGAAAGGCGUAGUCGAUGGGAAACAGGUUAAUAUUCCUGUACUUGGUGUUACUGCGAAGGGGGGACGGAGAAGGCUAUGUUGGCCGGGCGACGGUUGUCCCGGUUUAAGCGUGUAGGCUGGUUUUCCAGGCAAAUCCGGAAAAUCAAGGCUGAGGCGUGAUGACGAGGCACUACGGUGCUGAAGCAACAAAUGCCCUGCUUCCAGGAAAAGCCUCUAAGCAUCAGGUAACAUCAAAUCGUACCCCAAACCGACACAGGUGGUCAGGUAGAGAAUACCAAGGCGCUUGAGAGAACUCGGGUGAAGGAACUAGGCAAAAUGGUGCCGUAACUUCGGGAGAAGGCACGCUGACACGUAGGUGAAGUGAUUUACUCAUGGAGCUGAAGUCAGUCGAAGAUACCAGCUGGCUGCAACUGUUUAUUAAAAACACAGCACUGUGCAAACACGAAAGUGGACGUAUACGGUGUGACGCCUGCCCGGUGCCGGAAGGUUAAUUGAUGGGGUCAGCGCAAGCGAAGCUCCUGAUCGAAGCCCCGGUAAACGGCGGCCGUAACUAUAACGGUCCUAAGGUAGCGAAAUUCCUUGUCGGGUAAGUUCCGACCUGCACGAAUGGCGUAAUGAUGGCCAGGCUGUCUCCACCCGAGACUCAGUGAAAUUGAACUCGCUGUGAAGAUGCAGUGUACCCGCGGCAAGACGGAAAGACCCCGUGAACCUUUACUAUAGCUUGACACUGAACAUUGAGCCUUGAUGUGUAGGAUAGGUGGGAGGCUUUGAAGUGUGGACGCCAGUCUGCAUGGAGCCGACCUUGAAAUACCACCCUUUAAUGUUUGAUGUUCUAACGUGGACCCGUAAUCCGGGUUGCGGACAGUGUCUGGUGGGUAGUUUGACUGGGGCGGUCUCCUCCUAAAGAGUAACGGAGGAGCACGAAGGUUGGCUAAUCCUGGUCGGACAUCAGGAGGUUAGUGCAAUGGCAUAAGCCAGCUUGACUGCGAGCGUGACGGCGCGAGCAGGUGCGAAAGCAGGUCAUAGUGAUCCGGUGGUUCUGAAUGGAAGGGCCAUCGCUCAACGGAUAAAAGGUACUCCGGGGAUAACAGGCUGAUACCGCCCAAGAGUUCAUAUCGACGGCGGUGUUUGGCACCUCGAUGUCGGCUCAUCACAUCCUGGGGCUGAAGUAGGUCCCAAGGGUAUGGCUGUUCGCCAUUUAAAGUGGUACGCGAGCUGGGUUUAGAACGUCGUGAGACAGUUCGGUCCCUAUCUGCCGUGGGCGCUGGAGAACUGAGGGGGGCUGCUCCUAGUACGAGAGGACCGGAGUGGACGCAUCACUGGUGUUCGGGUUGUCAUGCCAAUGGCACUGCCCGGUAGCUAAAUGCGGAAGAGAUAAGUGCUGAAAGCAUCUAAGCACGAAACUUGCCCCGA